GCUUACGGCCAUACCAACCUGGCUAUGCCUGAUUUCGUCUGAUCUCGGAAGCUAAGCAGGUUUGGGCCAGGUUAGUACUUGGAUGGGAGACCGCAUGGGAAUACCAGGUGCUGUAAGCU
This 119-nucleotide ribosomal RNA is filed under the name Carassius auratus (goldfish). Lineage: Eukaryota; Metazoa; Chordata; Actinopteri; Cypriniformes; Cyprinidae. The record is from RNAcentral.